Non-coding RNA from Caenorhabditis elegans, 21 nucleotides. Lineage: Eukaryota; Metazoa; Nematoda; Chromadorea; Rhabditida; Rhabditidae. The record is from Ensembl.
UAUUGCUAGAUUUUGGGUCCC